RNAcentral lists this unclassified non-coding RNA (309 nucleotides) under uncultured fungus. Its description in RNAcentral is "partial contains 5.8S ribosomal RNA, internal transcribed spacer 2, and large subunit ribosomal RNA". Lineage: Eukaryota; Fungi. The record is from RNAcentral.
AACGCAAAUUGCGCUUCAUGGUAACGUGGAGCAUGCCUGGUUGAGUAUCAGUAACCCACCUCAUCCAAAUACCCUUUGGAUGGAUAUGAGGCGUCUCAGUGGUUCUCCGCUGAGUCCCUUUAAGAAUCGAGAUGUGCGCCAUAUGCUUAUGUCGUACAAAUGAUGUGGUAGUUGUUUCGCACAAAACUUCAUCAUUUGACAUACAGCUCUGUGCCUACAUUCGCCCUCUCCUCGGAGAGAAUCUCAGACUCCUAACCGAGUCUUUGAAUCCUUGAUCUCAACUCAGGUAAGACUACCCGCUGAACUUAA